AUUGUGAUCUCAGACAAAUUUAGAUUAUCGCAUUUUUUAUAAAAAGCGUAAUCUGUUUGUAUACAUUGGGGGAUCGUGAAGAUUUUAUCAGUGAGGAUUUGCUCUCGGAAGGGCAAUGAUGAAUAUUAAAUUGUCGGACAUAGUACGAUAAGGUUGUAUGUCUAAAGGGAAACAGCCCAGAACAAGAGUUAAAGGUUCCAAAAUUAUUGUUAAGUGAAAUUAAGGGAGUUUUUUUUCAAAUACAACCAGGAAAUAGGCUUAGAAGCGGCCAUUUUUUUAAAGAUCUCGUAACAGAGCACUGUUUUAUAAAAAAUAAAGUUAAACGCACCGAAAAUUUAACGGAUCUAAACAAUAUACCGAAACCUUGUACGUAAAUAAAUAUUAAUUUUUAUUUAUGGGGUAGCGGAACGUUGGGUUGACUCUUAGAAUUUAUAUCAUUGAUAUGAGUUAGGUUUAAUAUUUUUCACUUUUGUGUUUAUAUUUAUAUAGAUAUAAAUGUGCGAGAUAUUUAAAAACAAGAUAAUCCCAAGUGAUAAUGCUGACAUGAGUAACGAAAAAGGGUAGACCCCUCGCCUUAAGCUUAUGGUAUUUCGUUUAAAGUAACGGCCCCUAAGUUUAUUGAUCUGACCUAAAGGAUUAAAUGAUGGGAAAAUCUUUAUAUAUACCUAAACAUUUAUAUAAUAUGGCCUUAGAUAAGCAGAAUGUUAUAAAGGUUUAAGGAGUAUUAUUACACAGUUGUAUCCUAAAGUAGUAAAUGUUCUGGAAAAAGUAUAUAAUAAUAUAACCGUACCUAAAUACUACCACAAGUAAGCAAGUAGAGUAUACAAAGGCGUUUGAGAUAACAAUCAUUAAGGAACUCGGCAAAAUGACACCGUAACUUCGGGAUAAGGUGUGCCAUUAUUCAUUUUUUAAAAUAAAUCAUUUUUAUAUUAUUAGAAAAACAAACAACAGCUUUUUUUAAUAAGAAAAAAAGUGAUUAAAUAAAAAAUACAGCAAUAAGAGGAGACAUAAAAUGGUGUUGUACGACUGUUUAAUUAAAACAAAGCACUUUGCAUAAGAUUUUAAAUCAAAGUAUUGAGUGUGAUUUCUGCCCGAUGUUGGCUGGUUAACGGAUUUUCUUAGUAAAAUAAAAAAGCUAGGUUUUGAAGGAACCCCCAAUCAAUGGCGGCCUUACCGAUGAGGGUCCUAAGGUAGCGGAAUACCUUGGCCGUUAAAUGCGGUCUUUGCAUGAAUGAUUUAACGAUACAACAGCUGUCUCAAUGAUUGUCUCAGUGAAAUUGGAAUAACUGUGCAGAUACAGUUUUCUUCUAGUUAGACGAGAAGACCCUAUGCAGCUUUACUGUUGCUAGUAAUUGAAUAUAAUAAAACAAGUUGUAGUAUAUAAGGUUAUUGAUAAGAUAAUAGUGAAAUACCUUUACUUAGUUUAUUAUAUUAUUGGGGGUUAUAAUAUGUGUUAAAGUCAAGAGUUAAAGCGUUUGCAGCAACCGCUACAUAGUAGUUAAUAAUGGUGGUUAAUCAAUAUGUUAGCAUAUAUUAUAAGUAGGGGAGCCUUAAAUUGGGAUAUCCGGAAACGGGCCGCAACCGAGAGUUGUCGAGGCCCCAGUACCGGUAUAUGCGGAUAAUAUUAGGAAACGGGCCGCAACCGAGAACCGGGAAUCGAGAGUUGUCGAGGCCCCAGUACUCGUCCCCCACGAAGCUCUAAGAUGGGGGUAAUAUUAGUAAGAUAUACAGAAAUGUGCCGAAACCGAGAGUUGUCGAGGCACAGUACUGGUAUCUCUCGAGGCUGUAUAAUAUAUAUACAUCAGAAAAACUUGUCACUUAUUAUAAUUACCCAAACGCUUAUCCAAAAGAAAAAUGACGGUGUAUUUCCCCUUAUUACCUAGUAAGAGAGACACAAGCACACAUUAAGGAGAAAUUUGCUAGUGGACAGUUUAUGCGGGGCACAGAUCCCACAAAAAGUACCUGGGUGUAUCCAAAGUUAAAACUGUAAAUUUAUCAAGUUUAAUUGGUAAUCUUGUACUAAUAUUAUGCUCGUAGUAUGUUUAUCGAAAUUAAUUAGUAUUAGUACAUUACGUUUAUUUACUUUGUAAUGGAUUAUUUUUAAUUUAUUCACUUAUAAUUCUAUUAAGUUAGAUUAAUUUUAUUUU
RNAcentral lists this ribosomal RNA (2147 nucleotides) under Cercospora sojina. Its description in RNAcentral is "bacterial LSU rRNA". The stretch from base 1 to 1348 matches the Rfam family "Bacterial large subunit ribosomal RNA", at positions 830 to 2925 of the family's 2925-position model. Lineage: Eukaryota; Fungi; Ascomycota; Dothideomycetes; Mycosphaerellales; Mycosphaerellaceae. The record is from RNAcentral.